UGCGUAGGCGGAAUAUUAAGUCAGUGGUGAAAUCCUGCAGCUUAACUGUAGAACUGCCAUUGAUACUGGUCUUCUUGAAUAUAGUUGAGGUGGGCGGAAUGUGUAAUGUAGCGGUGAAAUGCUUAGAUAUUACACAGAACACCGAUUGCGAAGGCAGCUCACUAAACUAUCAUUGACGCUGAGGCACGAAAGCGUGGGGAGCGAACAGGAUUAGAUACCCUGGUAGUC
This 228-nucleotide ribosomal RNA is filed under the name uncultured bacterium. Its description in RNAcentral is "partial 16S ribosomal RNA". It matches the Rfam family "Bacterial small subunit ribosomal RNA", at positions 568 to 795 of the family's 1533-position model. The record is from RNAcentral.